This 493-nucleotide ribosomal RNA is filed under the name uncultured bacterium. Its description in RNAcentral is "partial 16S ribosomal RNA". It matches the Rfam family "Bacterial small subunit ribosomal RNA", at positions 28 to 507 of the family's 1533-position model. The record is from RNAcentral.
GACGAACGCUGGCGGCGUGCUUAACACAUGCAAGUCGAACGGUGAAGGGACCGGUUUUUGCUGGUUCUGGAUGAGUGGCGAACGGGUGAGUAACACGUGAGUAACCUGCCCCCUUCUUCUGGAUAACCGCAUGAAAGUGUGGCUAAUACGGGAUAUUCUGCGCCUGCUGCAUGGUGGGUGUGGGAAAGAUAUUGUUUCGGUGGGGGAUGGGCUCGCGGCCUAUCAGCUUGUUGGUGGGGUGAUGGCCUACCAAGGCGGUGACGGGUAGCCGGCCUGAGAGGGUGGACGGUCACACUGGGACUGAGACACGGCCCAGACUCCUACGGGAGGCAGCAGUGGGGAAUAUUGCACAAUGGGCGCAAGCCUGAUGCAGCGACGCCGCGUGAGGGAUGGAGGCCUUCGGGUUGUAAACCUCUUUCGCCAGUGAGGCAGGCCUGUCCCUUUUGUGGGUGGGUUGACGGUAGCUGGAUAAGAAGCGCCGGCUAACUACGUG